Molecule: long non-coding RNA, 887 nt
Organism: Homo sapiens (human)
Lineage: Eukaryota; Metazoa; Chordata; Mammalia; Primates; Hominidae
Product: long intergenic non-protein coding RNA 2096
Source: Ensembl
GGUAACUUGGUUGGGUGUUCUUCUCUGCUGUGUAGGCUUUGUUCUUUUGCUCUUUGCAGUAAAUGUUGCUGCUGCUGACUGUUGGGUCCCAGCCGUCUUUAAAAGCUAUUACACUCACGGUGAAGGUCUGUGGUUUCACUCCUGAAAUCAAGCGAGUGUACGAACCCACCGGAAGGAAGAAACUCCAGACUCCGAAGGAACAAACUCUGGACACACCAAAUGUAAGAAUUGUAACACUCACCGCGACGGUCCGUGGCGUCCACCCUCGCAGCUUCUUUCUUGAAGUCGCCGAGACCAAGAGCGCACCGAAAGGAACCAAUUGUGGACACAUCCGUUUUAGUGGAAUAAUAGUCCUUGGUUCUCUGGACAACCGGGAGAAUUGCAUUUUCUGAGGCCCACGAUAAGCACCCAACCGUUAAUAUUUCCAUGCUUCUCUGUCCAUCCCAUGGAGCCUGGGGCUUGAGGGACUGUGCAGUGAGGCAGCAACUCACAUCUCCAGCUGUUGGACUGGUCCUGCCAGCGACGUCUGCUCAGUAGAACAAGCAGCACUUCCCCCAGCUCAGCACUGUCUCAUUUCUGAGACUGAACACCCCGUGGUCACUCUACAUGGAUGGGUAGGUUUCCUGAAGGCAGUGCAGUGGAUUUUAAUACCCAGGGCCUGGUCUCCUAUGGCAGGUGGCACUUAAGUUCUCUGCAGAGGCAGACAUUUUUUGUUUUGGAGUCUGCAAGAAUAUCUAGCCAUCACUUCUUCCCCACAAGAACAAUGGGUGAUGCACUAUGUUGUACCUGGAUCUAAUGAUGAAUGAAAUGGUUGUAACAUUUGGCUUUAGAAGUUGUUUCAAAUGCAAUAAAUCAUACCUGGCACACAAGCAGGUUGUUACAAAACA